RNAcentral lists this ribosomal RNA (912 nucleotides) under uncultured archaeon. Its description in RNAcentral is "bacterial SSU rRNA". It matches the Rfam family "Archaeal small subunit ribosomal RNA", at positions 21 to 903 of the family's 1478-position model. The record is from RNAcentral.
CCCUACUGCUAUCGGGGUGGGACUAAGACAUGCGAGUUGUGCGUCUCUAAGCUAUGGUAGAGACGCAGCGUACGGCUCAGUAACACGUGGCUAACCUACCCUUAGGACGGGGACAACCCCGGGAAACUGGGGCUAAUACCCGAUAGGUGAGGAGGCCUGGAAUGGUUCCUAGUCGAAAAGGCGUUGAAACCAUGCUUUUCGACGUCGCCUAAGGAUGGGGCCGCGCCCGAUCAGGUUGUUGGUGGGGUAACGGCUCACCAAACCUACGACGGGUACGGGCGAUGGGAGUCGGAGCCCGGAGAUGGGGACUGAGACAAGGCCCCAGGCCCUACGGGGCGCAGCAGGCGCGAAAACUCCGCAAUGCGCGCAAGCGUGACGGGGGAAUCCCAAGUGCCGUUGGUCUUAUGAUCGACGGUUUUUAGGAAGUCUAAGAAGCUUCCAGAAUAAGGGCUGGGCAAGACUGGUGCCAGCCGCCGCGGUAACACCAGCAGCCCAAGUGGUGACCACGAUUAUUGGGCCUAAAGCGCUCGUAGCCGGAUCAGCAAGUCCCUUGUGAAAUCGGGCCGCCCAACGGUUCGGCGUGCAAGGGAUACUGUUGGUCUUGAGGCCGGGAGAGGUCGGAGGUACUCCUGGGGUAGCGGUGAAAUGCUCUAAUCCUAGGGGGACCACCAGUGGCGAAGGCGUCCGACCAGAACGGACCUGACGGUGAGGGGCGAAGGCUAGGGGAGCGAACGGGAUUAGAUACCCCGGUAGUCCUAGCUGUAAAGCAUGCGGGCCAGGUGUCUAGCGCUCCUUGAGGGCGCUAGGUGCCGGAGGGAAGCCGUUAAGCCCGCCGCCUGGGAAGUACGGCCGCAAGGCUGAAACUUAAAGAAAUUGGCGGGGGAGCACCACAAGAGGUGGGACCUGCGGUUC